RNAcentral lists this ribosomal RNA (450 nucleotides) under uncultured bacterium. RNAcentral's name for it is "partial 16S ribosomal RNA". It matches the Rfam family "Bacterial small subunit ribosomal RNA", at positions 354 to 796 of the family's 1533-position model. The record is from RNAcentral.
GUGGGGAAUUUUGGACAAUGGGCGCAAGCCUGAUCCAGCAAUGCCGCGUGCAGGAAGAAGGCCUUCGGGUUGUAAACUGCUUUUGUACGGAACGAAACGGUCCUGGUUAAUACCCGGGGCUAAUGACGGUACCGUAAGAAUAAGCACCGGCUAACUACGUGCCAGCAGCCGCGGUAAUACGUAGGGUGCAAGCGUUAAUCGGAAUUACUGGGCGUAAAGCGUGCGCAGGCGGUUUUGUAAGACAGGCGUGAAAUCCCCGGGCUCAACCUGGGAAUGGCGCUUGUGACUGCAAAGCUGGAGUGCGGCAGAGGGGGAUGGAAUUCCGCGUGUAGCAGUGAAAUGCGUAGAUAUGCGGAGGAACACCGAUGGCGAAGGCAAUCCCCUGGGCCUGCACUGACGCUCAUGCACGAAAGCGUGGGGAGCAAACAGGAUUAGAUACCCUGGUAGUCC